UUUUUUUUUUUUUUUUUUGGUUCUUUUUUUUGGAGCUGGGGACCGAACCCAGGGCCUUGCGCUUCCUAGGUAAGCGCUCUACCACUGAGCUAAAUCCCCAGCCCCUCUUUUUUUUUUUUAAAUAAGCUGCCUUGGUCAUGGUGUUUCACAGCAACAGAACAGUAACAAAGACAGUGUUCUCGUGUAUAUGCAAUAUUUUAAAAGUUUAUGUGUAUGAGUGUUUUGUCUGGGUGUCUAUUUCCCUGUCACAUUCGAGCGUGGCUCCAAAGGAGGCCAGACAAAAGUGACAGAUCGCUGGUUGUAGCCUCUCUGUGGAUGCUGGACCCAGUAAUGUCCUCCGAAAGGCUCUUGACUGCUGCGCCACCUCUCCAGCCCCCAUUUCAUAAAUCUAUUUUACAUCAAUCCACCUGUUUCUGUCAAUUUUCCACAAUUAAAAACUUUUGCUGAGCGCAAGGCCCUGGGUUCGGGCCCCAGCUCCGAAAAAAAGAAAAAAAAAAAACGUUUGCUGGACAUAGAGGGGUAUGUCUUUAAUCCAACAGCUUGGGAGGCAGAGGGAAGAGGAUCUCUUAAGUUUGAUGCUUGCAGGGGCUGGAGAGAUGGCUCAGAAGUUAAGAGCACUGAUUGCUCAUAUAAGUAAAAUAAAUCUUUUUUAAAAAAAAAAAGUUUGAAGCUAGCUUGUUCUACAAAUUGAAUCCUGGAUAGCCAGGGCUAUGCAGAGAAACCCUGUCUUGAAGAAAAACUAAAACUGGACUGGAGAGAUGGCUCAGUGGCUAAGAACAUUGACUGUUCUUCCAGAGAUCCUGAGUUCAAAUCCCAGCAACCACAUGGUGGCUCACAACCAUCUGUAACGAGAUCUGAUGUCCUCUUAAGACAGCUACAGUGUUCUUAUCUAUAAAUAAAUACAUGAUUUUUUUAAAAAAGAGCAUUUAAGGGGUUGGGGAUUUAGCUCAGUGGUAGAGCGCUUGCCUAGGAAGCACAAGGCCCUGGGUUCCGUCCCCAGCUCCGAAAAAAAGAACCAAAAAAAAAAAAAAAAAAAAGAGCAUUUAAUUUGGCGUUUGCUUACAGUUUCAAAGGGUUAGUCCACGAUCAUCAUGAGGAGAAGUGUGGAGGUAGGCAUGGUGCCGCAGUAGCAGCUCAGUGCUUACAUCUGAUAAGUUAGAGACAGAGAGAGCAAGGUGGCCUGGCAUGAACUUUUGAAAACUCCAAGCCCACCCCCAAUGACACAUCUCCAAGAAGGCUACUCAUUUUAAUCUUAGAGCCAAACAUUGGAAUAUAAUAGCAUAUGGGAGCCAUUCUUAUUCAAGUCACAUUGCUCAGAAAUAAAAAUACAUACCGUAGUUGUGCAAGGUACACACCUUUAAUCCUAAAAUUCAGGAGGCAGAGUAAAGCUGAUCUGUGUGAGUUCAAGGCCAGCCUGGUCCACAGUGAGAUCCUGUGUUUAAAAAGCAGGAGCUGGGGCUAGAAAGAGGGCUCAGAGGUUGAGAGCAGUGGUUGCUUUUCCGGAGGACCUGGGUUUGGUUCUUUGCACACACAUGGCAGCUCACGUGUCUGUAAUUUCAGUCCUAGGGGGUCCUACAUUCUGGGACUGAAGGUAUAUGCCACCACACCCAGUUAAAAUACAUUUUAAAAAUAUUUAGCUGAUCAUGGAAGUAUAGGUUAGCAGGAUUUGCUGAAGAGGCAAAAGCAGGACCUCUGUGAGUUCAAGGCCAGCCCAGUCUACAUAGCAAAUUCCAGGACAGCUAGAAUUACAUAGAGAGAUCCUAAAAAAUUUAAUAAAACAAAAACAAACAAACCACAAAGCCAACAACAAACCGUUGUGACGAGGAAAACAGUUCAAGAACAUUGCAUGCACUACAUUUGUACACUAGAUGGCAGCAAAAUCCAGUCACUUCCUACUCACUUGCCCAGCUACCCUUAUGGUGGUCGCAUUGUGAGCCAGGCAGUUCUCAAGGUUGCCAAAUGACCAGAGACAGGAGCCAAGACCUGAGCUUCAGGGUCAACAAUCCAGGUGACCAGGCGUACUGGAGCACCCACGCAAUGGCACUCAUUUGACCAUGCUGGGCCACAUAAGGAGUGCCUGUCUGGUGAUGUUAGGGCCCUACCUAAAAUAUAAAAUCACAUGUUCCAGGAUUUCUCCCCAAACCCUUCUCAUUUCAUGUCUUAGUAGGACGCUACGUUGCUGGCCCUAUACCAAUCUGCUUUGGGGCCUGUGGCUGGGGCUGUUUGGGGAAAGUUUUGUUUGUGAAGUAUCCUUUGUACAGCUACAGCAAUACGGACAGCACACAAACGUAGAGUCCAACGGCACAGCAUUGGAACUUCCAAAGUUGAGGCCCAAAGACCCAAAUUCAGUCACCCUGGCCACAUAAUGAAAGCUAAAGUGAAGCCUCUAGAUCUAACACUGGGGAAUUCCCAACCCUGCUCCCUUCACUUUGCUCCCAAAUCAGGAAAUGUGAGCCCUAACCUCUGCUCCUAUCUCUUGCUCAAUAAGUCUGAGCCUCACCUCAGCAAAGCCUCAGCUCUGGAAACAAACUUCUCACAUGAGCAAAUUCAGAAUAGGCCCUUACUAAGAUGUGUGUGGCAGGGUCUAGCUCAGCUGUUACCAGGCACAAAUCAGAUUGGCCUGCAGACCUGUGGUGGGCACUUCAGCUGUGAUGUCCUGUACUGUAGGAACACCGAGAUGGAGCUCAGAGGCACUGAGUGGGCUUGUCUGGGGAGAGAACAUUUUGCUCACCUGGGCACUUGGUUUUAGUCUUCAGUAAGCUGAGGCCCUUUGAACUGGGGAAGAUGUCAUUAGAUUCCCAGCCCUGGGAGCUGAAUCUCCAUUAACCCAGGAUAUUUUUGCCCACAAAGGACUGAGAGCAACAGGAAGGGCGGGCCCCUGAAGCUAGGGGCCUGUCCUUUAAUAUCCAGUAAUCUGAAAGACAUGCAGCCUUUCAAGCCUGAGAAACCAAGGUGGGUUUUCUGUUGCUUUGUUUUUUUCAAGAGUGUUUCUGUGUAGACUAGGCUUGAACUCAAGAUGUCUGCUAACUUAAAGGUGUACAGCACCACAUCUAACCAAGUCAGCUUAUCUUUAAGGAAUGGCAAGUCUUCUCCCACAGCCUUAAGAGGCAACACAGAGCCAUGGCUGAGGACUGGUUUGAUCUCUGAUCUCCACACACACUCACACAAGGUAUUGCCUGCACAAGUUCCUCUUCUCCCUGGGAAUGUUUUUGGGCUUUUAGAUCAUGUAUGUACAUCCCUGUAUUCCCCGAAACUACAUGAAAAUUACCAUCCUCCACCUAGUGUUAGGUAGACAGGAACAAAGCACCAACAUCUUGAACAUGGACAAUCCAGAUGUCUUCACUCAGUACAGCCUAAACAGCUAGAAAGGCACCCCAGGAAGAGGCCAAGACCACCCAAGCUAACCUUAGAGAAUCUGCAUGAAAGAACCAUGCAGCCUAAGGAAACAGGGGAAGAAAGCCUCACAAUCCCAAGAUGAGGCAGAUCAGAAACUCAAUCAAUCUAGUAAGGCGUAAGCCUGUGUUUCAUAUACAAAGAACCACGCAGUGAGAGAGCAUUGGUUUUUAUUUCAUAAAAUCCUUAUUGUAGAUGUGUCAACCCAAUACUACACAGAUUGGGCAUAACCUGAAAAAGACAAUAUAGUUAUCAACAGUUACUCAGAGUUCAACACUAAGACUGGGCAGUGUUCUAGUGAUGUCUGCUCCCAUAUUCAGACCCUUUUGAACCCCCUCAAAAAACAGGCCUCCCGGGGCUGGGAAUUUAGCUCAGUGGUAGAGCGCUUGCCUAGGAAGCGCAAGGCCCUGGGUUCGGUCCCCAGCUCCGAAAAAAAGAACCAAAAAAAAAAAAAAAAAAAAAAAAAAACAGGCCUCCUGAUCUUAAGACUCAAGCAAAGACGCCGCAGGGACUUGAACCCCGUCCUGGAAACCAGGAGUGCCAACCACCAGCAUCUUUUGCUUUUUUUUUUAAAAGCUAGGGAAAGGCCAAAAAGCAAAACCUGAGAAAACAAAGUUUGUUUUCUCAGGAAAAGAAAAACCUUUACAACCCUAAUGAAGAAUCUGCUUCCGCUAAGAUGCUAGCUUGGCCAAGUCUGCUAUGUCCACCUGAAAAAGUCUUAGCAGAGAAAUUUUGCAAUCCCACCCCAACAGCUUCCCUACAAAGGCUUGCCUUCAGCUGACCUCAUUCCCACCCAGCAUUUGUAUCAAACAUUGCUAUUACUAUACCCUUGACUGGUUUGUUUAGUCUGAAUAGGUGCUAUGCAUAUAAAACACCUUAGCUACUGAGCUGUGGUCUUGUUAAAUUAACAGGCAAGGGGAAAAAAUGGCCUUCUCUGUCUGGUGCAACCCACGGGACCUUGGCACCAUGGUUACCUUGAAACCGAUUACGCAUCAUGACCUCAAGGAUCCAGCUACUGGCUGCAUCAAGGUGAGGGGUGAAGGGUCUGUGAUUAGGCCAAAGGCACAGGGUGUCGAUGUGGCAGAGAAUCACUUGUGGGGAGACCUUGUAACAGGACUCUGGAAAAGCUAGGGAAAACUGGUUGCCCACUUUCCCUCUUUUCCCUCCCCUUCAAGCACAACUUGAGGUUUGGGCUGCUAACAGCUGCUAUAAAAACAGCUUUUCCAGAUGUUAAAACAAGCCCAGGGCCUCUCAAGUAUUUUCUUUGAAUGUUUCUUUCAACUCCAGCAAGGUGUUGAGGUAGGGUAGUCCUCACUGCUAAUCAAAACCAACCAUGAUACCACUUUGCUUGCUUGACUCUUGCCACAGGAAGGCUCCGCUGUGCUACAUUAAGCCUUCAGUGCCUUUAGUGAGGGGUACCUGGAAAAUCUUAAAAAAAGGCUUAGCGCCCACCUCACCCCUCCACCCCAAGGCCAACAAAACAUUACAUGCUAGCUGCUUCAGCAUGAAGCUGAAGAGAAUUCAACACUAAUUUACCAGUAACUAAUCUUAAACAAGAAAAGGCUUGUUCACCUGUUGUCAUCAUUUGUCCACUGGUGAAUUCAACUGGAAGCUCCUUCUAGUUUGAAGUACAUCUGAAAGAACUAGGGCUUCCCAAUCCCCACAUUGAUAAUGGAAUGUCUGGUUCACUUUUAUCGAUUUAAAGUAAAUAGGCUAUUUUUCCUUACUGGGUCUGGCUUCUCUGGGCCCUCGAAUAGAUGUCUGCUGUUUUCAAUGUUCCUGCAUGUAAGAAUUAAGACCAAGGGAGGGGAGAGAGACACCUACAGAGACAAUGCACUAAAGACCACGGAACUGUUAAGAACAUUUCCACUUGCCAGUUAAAUUUCUUCAAGAAUGUUGCUUGUCUGAAUUUAUUUCUUGUCAGAUUUUAGGUUGAAUCUGGAAGAGACUAAAGGCUUCAGUGCUCCCAACCCCCCCUCACCAGAAAUGAACAAAAACAUUUACCUAAAGCAGCACAGCAAAGGGACUUGGCUUCAAUCACAAACACGUGUUACUUAAAGCUGCAGAGCCAUUUCCUCAACACUCAGCCUGUAUUACUCAUGGGUUCUCCUCCAACAAUCACUACUCCAAACAUUUGGGGAAACACAACUUUAAUCAUACUCCAGUCGUGGCACAAUGCAUUCUAAUAGCAGCAGAUUGGAACAGUACUGCACAUAUUACUUGCCAAAGAACAGACAAGACCUGAAGUCAAGACACCUGCAUUCUGUGUGGUCUGUAAAAAAAAGCUAGAACAAGUAAGCCCCAUCCCCCUCCUCCCUUCCCUCCAAUUCCAGGAAAAACAAACUCACUGCAAGGUCUCACACACUCACUAGCAGAGCAGAAGACAAGAGGCAAGCGCUUAUAUGCAAUCAAAGUCCUGAGCAGCUCCAUGAAGGAUGAAAUGAGGCCUCUGCAAAGGAAAACUCUUUAAAAACCCACAUGCCCCAACUCGUGGCUCAAGUGAGGUGACAAAAGUCUAACGUGGAUGAGAUGGUCUAAGCAUUUAAACUCAACAUGCACAUUUGAUAAUUGGGAAAGUAUCUUACCCUAGAUGUUUAGCCAUGGUCAAAUAAGACCCCUGACUUUCUGGAAACAAAAUAUGUAGUUACCUUUUAUCUGACCAUCAUUUCCAACCUGCCUAAGGUACUUAGUCCUUAAAGGGCCUCUAUGCCAGGCCUGCAAUUAUUAAAUGCUCAUCACUGCAUGGAGAAUAAAAUUUGUCUUUCCUGCCUGAAUGUUAAAUUCGGUCUUCUGCUCAAGUCCUGAUCUUGUCCAUUUAAGUGUUCGAAGCCAAAGUUUCUGCAAAGAUUAGAGAAGAACAUUCCCCCCAAAAUUGCCCAACACUAACUACAGACAACAAACAAAACUUUAUUUAAAUAAGGAGACAGCCUUCUAAAUACAUACAUUCUCUAGUGAAGUAUUUUAUUAAUUUGUAUGAUUUAAUGAUUUUAAGCACAAGUACAUCGAGCACAUUUAAAUUUUAGCAAUAUGAACAUCUGACUUUCAGCACAUUAAAUGUCCCUUUCAUGGGGUCUUCAGGUUCAAUUGGUAAAGAUUCCUUAAUUUUGUAAAAAAUGUAAUUAAAGCAGGCACUAAUCAUGUUUUGAGGCUUUUGCGGUGAAAUUUAGGAUGCAAAAGCCUGUUUACUUACUUACUAUCCCAUCAUGAAAGCCCACUGGCACAAGGCUUAGAAUUCUUAAGAGGCUGGAUGGGAAAACUGCUCACAAUCCUGAGCCCCCUAGGAAGGGGUCAGGUGAGUAACAUUCAAUACCUCCUCUUAACUUAAGACAGCUAUAUUUAUCCCUACCAUGCAAUACUGCAGAUUCAAGUUAAACUUAUCUGUUAACAGCAGUCUGCUGUUUCCUGCUCCGAGAUGAAAUGAAGCAACUCUUCUGCUUAUGAAGAGAAACCUGUCUGAGGCAAACGAAAGAUUGGCAUACUGCACCGCCUCUCAAGCCACUCGAUCCCACUCCUCUCAGUAAGCUCAGCUUCUUUUUACUCCAGGAUUAAUGUAGAAUUUUUACUUCAUUUUAUUCUGCUUUUGUAAAAGCAGUUGAGAUGAACGUUUGAUCUUCACUGGUUUUCAUCAAUUCUUUACUUUUGUGGAUAAAGCUUGGUAAGCCAUUAACUUUUAAAGGUAGAUUUCCAUAACUUUUAAAGGUAGAUUUCCAUAACUUUAUACUGGUUGCUCUCAUUUGCUUAAUUAUUGCAUAUGCAGACUUCAUCAGCAGUAAGACUCUCAGGCUCCUGCUCAUUCCCCAUGGAGACAUGACAUUAUCUUUUCUGCCUUUACUUAUCACUCAUUCACCAAGGAGCUGUUCCCUCUGCAUCUAGGUCAUCACACUGCCAGGCUGGUUAUGACUCAGAUGGUGUUAUCUGAAAAAGGUCUACAGAAAAAAAAAGGUUUCCCCUCCCUCAUCAACAAAAGCCCACCCUCUAAAAGACAUUCAGGCUGAACUACCACAAUUCUUACAUUAUAAAUUGCAAAUACAAAGUAUACAAUAUACAAAAAAUAAGCAUACCUUACAUCUUGUUUAGUCACAAGGAAACUCAUUUCUCCUACACUAGGAAAGACUUGCUUAUACAAAACUGAGAUGGAAUCUCUUACUUGAUAAUAUAAAAGCUAUCACCAGAAGAAAUCCCUUCAGGGUCAUUAAAGCCACUUCCUUUGCUCUGAAGUUCCUAUAGUAGUUAUUAAGAUACAUUAAGUCACCUGAAAAAAAAUUUCAAAAGAGAACCACACACUACAAUCUAUAUCCGGUAGCUUCUAGAGAAUCCCCACACUGUAACUUCCACACCACUCUAGUGAUCAGACCAACCCCCAAACCCUACACACUUUCACGGGAACAGACGACUGUUGUGAUUUACUUUCCUUGCCCACAAUAUUGGAUUAGUGGGAACACCCAAGGCAAUCUUCCUUACUGCCCAAAUCAAAAAAAUAAAAAGAAAAGGAAAAAAAAUAGAAGCAAAAAACUGGAUUGGGAGUUACUUGCCAACUUGAAAGCUGAGAUUUCCUCAGUUUUUCCAAAUAUUUAAGUUCUCUGGUAUGAUUAUCUGAAAUCAUAAACUAAACAAUUACCUAACCUCCCCCCCACCCAAAUACAACAGGUCACAGCCAACUAAGUUUUGCCCCUCCCCUUUAAUGAAAUGUUUAAGUCAUGGUGCUUGAAAACUUAACUUUAACAUCUGGCCUACUCAAGCUCCUGAGGUUCUCCUGAGGUGACUGUGAACCAAAGCUGCACUGUGCUGUACUUCAGCGGCCACUGGGGAAACUCUUCCAAGGAUAAAGGGCAGCUCCAGUCCCUGAAGGUGUCGUGCCAACAGCAUAGCAGUACACGCCUUCUCUAACCCAGUGUGCCAACAGAACUAUAGCAUCUGUGGAAAAUCUUAGAAAAAACAUUUUCCCCCACCCACUCCUCCCUGUUAAGACCAUUCCCAAAUAUUUCAAGUAAAAAUAUUCAAAAGAUUAGGAAUUUUACAAGUCUUGUUAAGGGAGGGGGAAAAGAAUAAACUACCAGCCAUUUCGCCAAUGGACAGCUCCUCCAUAUUCAACGUGAAAGCUAUUCAUCUAAUUUCUAGAAACUGUAAACCUGUUGAGUUCUGCUUAUCCUGAUACUGGAUUUUCUUUUUUUCCUGGUUCCCUUGAGUCAUCUGCCUUUAGGAUUCUAGACAGACCUAAGGGGAAAAGAACUCAAAAUAUAUUUUGUCCCACCCCACCCCCCAAGCACUUUGCCCAAUUACCUCCCCUACACAGUAGUAAGACUUGCAGAAGACUGCAGUAGGUUAGCUGUUCACAGAACUAAAACGUCUUACAAAACUGGCGAGACUGUUGGCUCUACCAUUCAUUUUCCCUCAGAUCGGGUUAAGACAACUUGCCAUCUACCAUUCUUCUGGGCCUUGGCAGUCUGCCCUCAAAAGCUUCAGACAAGAUGCAAGAGGACACAACCCUGAAAAAGAAAAACCUCCAACACCCGCAGCGGCCUACAGCCCCAGAUGACUCUCUUCACAGACAGAAGCCUACAAACUCCCCCAUACCAAGGCAAAAUAAACAAGUUACCAUCCUCAAGUUACAGAAACCACCACCGCGUUGCCGACCUCACGGGAUGUUACCGCACCACAUGCUUUCCCUGCAGCCUUUCUUGCACAUUGACAUGCUGGUCUAGGAGCCGCUAUCUAUUCUCUCCACAACGCAAUGCCUGCUCGCCUCCUCCGCGUUGACAAGCCAAGACGCCAGCUAGCUUCAUCACCAACUCGAACUGGCUCCACCUUCCCGGAAUCCUCUUUUCUAGCUUCACCACAUCAUUUCGGCUCCUUCUUCCUAGCUUCCUCCAACGAACCGCACUGUUUCCUGGGCUAUCUUCACCAUGACCUGCUGCUGCUGGCUGCUCAGUCCUUCCUAGCUUCACCAAACUGGCUUCGGGACUCCUGUCUUCCUAGGUUCACUGAAUCCACUUCUGUGUAGACCUUGGUCGGCUGCCAAUGCUAGUCGUUAACACUUUUAAAGCACCUCAGCUCAAGUCCAAUGCAAAAUGCUGACAAUCUUGAAAUUGUUAUCAAAAGUCCUUUUGUUCUCAAAACAAAAUUAAGCUACAAGUUAAGGCUUCUAAUAUUCUUCUAACUUUUCAAACGCAUUCUGCCUUUUUAAUUACUUCAGUUGUAGCUUUGACUGCUAGCUUCACUCUUGUAAAAUGGCUGUCUACAGACACUUCUAAACUGCUGGGCUCCAUCAGAAACUUGAAUUUAUGGCUUUAAAAAUAAUUUCCUUCUGACUUUAUUUCUGAGAUUUAACCUUAUCCAACCUUUUGGUCUUGAUCUUAUCUUCUUUGCCUAUCUUGAAUGCUGGCAUCCAAAGUUGUCUGAACUUCCUUUUGUCUUUCUAUCUUGCUUUUUUUCUAUCUUCUAGUUUUCUUCCUACCUGUGUGUUUAAAUACCUUUUCUGUCUUCUAAUGAUUCUUCGGUCUUCUAUUUUCCUAUCUUCUCUACAGCUUUUCUUCACCUUCCUGAACUUGUCUUCAUUUUUCCACUUCCAUUUUCUAAUCUUCUUUCUCAAAAUACUAACCCUACCACUUCCAUUCCCCGUUUCCAACUCAUGCCUUCGUACAUGCGACAGUCGACUCUUAUAACGGCCCUUCAACUUACUUUUUUCAAUCUUUUUAAACUACAUCUCAUUUUCAAACUAUUAUCUACAACUUUACAAUUUUAAAAAGCCAUUUAGAUUCUGUUUAGGUAACCUUCGUUUAAAAGUACACCUAACAAGGCUGACCCUCAAGCUAGAACCUUUGAAACUCCACAAUUGCUCCCUUUUACAAUCUUCUAAACUACUCUGAAUAAACGCCUCAGGUCAGCCUCCAUCUGGUGGUACAAAAAUUUUUCUCUUUUCCUUUUUCAAAUUGUUUAAAUAAACCUCCAUACUUUUCUUUUAAAAUCUUAAUAUUAAAAUAUUAUUAUCUCAGUAAGCUACUCUAUUAAGUUUAGAGUUCUAGUUUCCUUUUAAAUCUUUUUAAAUAGAAACUUAUCUGCGAAUGCCUCAGGCUGAGUCUCCUGCCUCACCAGGUGCCUGUGCUCGCUGCCUGAAUGCCUGACGCAAGGCUCGGAGCUCCCUUUUUAUUGCGAAGGGACACGUCACUCCACCGGAACCUAGUAACCCUCCACCGCCUCGGUGAAGGAAGAAAAAUAGUUCCUCAGAGAGUUAAAAAUAGAGCCCUACUUCCAAGUUUCUAGAUUUUUCCUGAUGGUGCGUGGGCCUCGGGACCUUGCUAAUACAGAGAAAUAUUAAAGUUGUACCAGCAAGUACAAAUAGUUUAAAAGUUUGAGUCACAAGAUGAAAAACAUGACUAACACAGUUUCCUUUAUUUUGUGACUCCCGGAGCGGCAGCCAUUUUCAUAAACAAAAUGGAGGUUUCUCGAAAAUGACCUGGCCCUGCGAGUUGUUCCUGAGGUGAUAGCACUUUGCUUAGUACUGGCUUAGGCUCGGGAUGCUGAGAACAUCCACCUGUAGGACGAUCUGCAGUCCCCGGCUGCCCACGAGAACUUUAUUCUGAGCCUUGGUUAACGAGUGCUUUGGUGCUUGCAAACGUCAGCCAUUUAGGCUGCCAGGUCCUCGUUCCAAACUAGCAAAGCCCAGCAGACGACCCCUGACCCAAGGCUGUGGUGCCAUGAUCUCAGGCUAGCAAAGCGACGGUCGCUGCUUGUGAGGACACAGUGACCUUGGCGGCCAUGCGGAGCACAACCCCCACAGCCCCACAGUGGCUGGGUUUCGAGAUGUACACUACUUUAGGCUUCCUGUUCUCAUGCCUUUCUACAAUUACGACGUACAGGAAAGGACGUCCCUAGAAAUUAAAGAUUUUUUCUUUCUCCAGAGGACCAUGGCGAAAGGAUCACCAGGCGCAGAGAAGCGGCCCGCGAGGGAGACGGCGGGAAGGAACGCGAAUGCCACAGGGACAAGGGGGGUGGGGGUGGGGGGCGGGGGUGGGGACGCGCAAGGAUACGCAGGUCGUGAGUCGCCGCCUCCCUUUGUGAAGCGCAGAAUCGGGAGCGGGCGGCCGGUCGGGCGCGGCCGGUUCUAACCGGUUCCAGCCGGUCUAGGCAAAGUUGUUGCCGCAGAGCUUCGCUGCGCAGGCGCGCCCCGCCCCGCCCCCAGCGCCUGGAUCUAGGUGCGGGAAUGACUGGUGUGGGGGCAGGGCGGCUGCCGGUGGCUGUGCUGCCGUUUCCUGGUCGUCCCUUAAUGCAACCUACGGGGCCCACUGAGCUGGCUUUUUUUUGGUGUCUAUGUCAUCCAUUAAGUAUUACCAUACAUACUUUGAAUGCUUCUACGUUUACUCUAUAUUCUAGAAUUUUCAAGGGAAGCGAGUCUCGGGUUGAUCCUGUAACCUGGAGGCUAUAACCUCUGUUUUUAGAGAAGCCAGGGGAGUCAUGUGAAACAGCGCUCCGGGGCACACAGAAGUCCAGAGCUAGCAAUCACAAGACUGGCUGGCGGCACCGACUCCCCAGAUCUACGUUCCAGGACCUGCAAAUAGGGAGGCUUUAAGAGGAUAUGGUCAUACAAACUUUUCCUUGCUGUUGGAAUGGUUGUGAAGCACUGGGCCAGUCCCAGGGUUUGGAGAGAGAAACAGGCUGCAGGGUCACUCCAGAAACUCACCCAAAAGACAUGGUUUGCAAAGGCAGGGAGGAAGCUCAUAAUGAUCACACCAUGAGAAGUAACAUUUUUAGAGAACAUUCUGAACUACCUAUUUUUAAUUGCUAGGGCCCAAAUGCCUGCUGUCUUCCCCCUUCUUUUUACUUCACAAACAGGCUUUAGUAGUUUCCAAACCACUCUGAUUCUUGCCUCUGUUUGUUUAGUGGGUCUUUUCUGGAUUUUUCUUUUUCCAAUGUUAAGAAUUGAACCCCAGCCCUCGAGCUUGCAAGGUAAACAGCCCAUCUCUGAGCUGCAUGCCUAACCCUCUUUUCCUGUUUACUUCUUUAUGGAGCAUCUCACUGUGCAGUCCUCGUUGGCUCAAAGGGUACCACAGACACUAAAGGAGAAACAGCCAUUUUAGUCAGCCCCUUAAAGGAGCCCAGGCCAAAACCAGAAGCUCUUCGAGUGCCUGUUCCUGGCAGGCACAUCCCGGACACACAUCCCUGGGACCUUGGGGAUGAACCCAAUGACUUUGGAAUGGUAAUUUCCUAAUGUGCAAGCAGAGAGUUGAGACAGCAGGUGAUGCUGGUUCUGUAAACAAAGGGGUGGAGAAAGAACAUGGAAGAUUUUAGACUUCUUGCCUGUGGCCUGGAGGAGUUGUGACCCUGAAAAUGACUGAAGCAGCAGUAAUUCAGAAUUAAGACAACGGGCCAGAAAUCCUCAGAGAACACUGCAGUCCACCCAGCCCUUGCAGGGUACAAAGGCGUAUCAGGCUUUGGCAAAGGAAUGGCUACUUCUCUUAGUUUAGCGCUGGGAACAGGGACCAGACUGAGCAAGUCCACUGGCACUCAUUCUUCCCAAGCCUGUGCUACUAGGUCCCAUCCCGUGAAUUUUAUCUGUAAGGCUCCGGUAGGCGGGGAAGAGGGGGAAGGGCUGAGCUUGGGAGGAGAUUAUUCAAAGAAAACAGCUUUGUUUCCAGAAGACUGAAUUUGCAGUUCCCAUCCACUCACCCACCUUCCCAGGGCUGAUUUUUUUUUUUUUUAAAGAUCUUUGGAACAAUGUGAACCUCUUAAGUUUGCAGCACAAAUUUGGGCUACUCCCACUGCAGGAAAAAAAAAAAAAACCUACAGAAAUGACGAAGGAAGCAGAGGUUGGUCAUAUGGGAGAAAGCCUUGUUUCCUUUGGGGGCUCUGGACAGCUAACUAAUGUAUCCUGGAGAGAGGGUAAAAGUCAGUCACGGAGGCCCACUUCACACAGAGAACCUGGGCCCAGGAAUGGAAACUGACUGUGUCAUUGCAGAUCCCAAGUUGAGAGGGGAGCAGCAACCUGCCACAGGAGCUGAGGUGGUGCUGCCUAUGUGCUGAGUUUUACAGACUGAAUGGUAUUUCCAUCAUGGAGUCAGUUGUGCUAAGGUCUGGGGCCUUUACACAGAAGAUCUGCCUGUACCCUCUGCAAAGUCAAACUGGUGGUGCUACUUGCCUGGAGGGAAAUGACUGGGGAAGUUGGGCCUGGCUGAAGCUCCUCAGAGAGAGGGAAAGAAUUGGACUGAUUCCCAUCCCUGCCCUUAGUGUUUGAUCCAGCUCCUCUGCCUUUCAUUUCCUCUCAAAAGACAGUUCGGGGUACUGCUCUGCCUGAGACUUGGCCAGUAUGGUGAAACCACCAGCACGACUGAGGGUGGGGAACAGUGAGACUGGGGUGGGGAAUGGUGGGACAGUGCCUGAAGCUCUUUAUCCUCCUGCUGUGUCACACAGUGAAAUGCCAGCCCUGAACAAUGUAACACUAUAUCAAGUUUAGGGUUCAUGUAAAAACUGUACCCUAAAAGGACCUAGGUCAAAAAGAAAGGUUCUUUAGGUUUUUGAAUAAAACUGCUGUCUUAGGGUUGCUACUGCUGUGAUGAAACAUGGUGACCAAAAGCAACUUGGGGAGGAAAGGGUUCCCCGUCCUAAGUCAGAGCCCAUCAGGGAAGCCAAGGCUUCAAACAGGUCAGGAACCUGGAGGGAGGAGCGGCUGUGGCGGCUGUGGAGGGUGCUGUUCACUGCUGGCUUGCCCAUAAGGCUUGCUCAUUACAGAACCAAGGACCAGCAGCAGCAGGGCCAGCACCACCCACAGAGGUGCUGGGCCCUCCCACAUCCAUCUCUAACUGAGAAAAUGUCCUACUGGCUUGCCUAUGUAUAGUCAGAUCUUUUGGAGCCAUUUUCUCAACUGAGGCUCCUUCCUCUCAGACGACUCUAGCGUGUGUCAAGUUGACAGACUAGCCAGGAGACCCGCCUUCUCUAGUCCAGAUCCUCCUGCUUCAGCCUCUAGAUGCUGAGAUCACCCGUGUUCAUGCCUCAGCUGGAUAGGAAACUGCAAGGCCUGUCUCGUUCGCCCUGAAGUCAGGCACAGGAGUUCUCCUAGGCUCUCUACUCUCUGGCUUUGUUUCCAAAUAUAGCAAACAUGAAUGUAUCCUCAGGAGUGUGGAGAAUGGUGGUCAGGAGGGAGGGGCCAGCUGUGCUAGCAUGGGAGGCUGAAUUGGGAAUCCCUGGAAUCUAAGCAGUGGGUAUUGGUCCUACGUGUCACUAACCUGAGGGUGCUGAGGCAGGCAAGUCCCAGAGCUCGUUAGCCAGCAUCGUAGACAAUUAACUGGUUAGCUCCUAUUUGGACACAGAGAGCCUGUCUGUCUCUAGAGUACUGUGGAUUACAGUAGCAGAAGUGAGCCUCAGGCUCUGGUCUCGUGGUGCACAGGUUUUUUUUUUUGUUUUUUUUUUUUUUUGUUCUUUUUUUUUUUUUUUUUUUUUUUUUCUUUUUCGGAGCUGGGGACCGAACCCAGGGCCUUGCGCUUCCUAGGCAAGCGCUCUACCACUGAGCUAAAUCUCCAACCCGUGGUGCACAGGUCUUAAAGGCAUCUCAAGGAUUCCAAAUGCUGUAUCCAUUAAACACCAGCAGCCUGGAGGGAAAGGCCAGAGAGAUAGAGACCUGACAACCAAGAAGUCAAGGAAUCAGACAGAAACCACGGCUAAAACACCAGGUGUUGAAGGUCACUGUGAACUCAGGAAAUUGGUGAUCUACUGGGGCUUUCGAGGGAGAGAAGGACUGUGUAGAUUUUGGCCUGGUUCAGCUCUAAUGCCACUGUGAGAAAACUGUGACCAUGGUUUGUCCCCACACUCUGAACUGGAAGAAGUGUAAGCUAUCAUGUGGCUCACAGUGGCCUCCUGUUUUUCUGAGGGGACACAGAGGAUCUGGCAGAACCUGGGCAACUGCCAGCCUCUCUCCUAGGAAUUGCUAAGUCCUUUGGGGCACAGGAAAGAGAGGCCUGGAGCCAGAGCAGGAAGGAAGCAGGGUACUGCGGGGACUCGAACCCCGGCCCACACGGGCGUGCCAUCACCAGUGCCUUUUGCUUUUUCCUGCUCACAUUCUCACAGACAAAGGUGAAAAGCAAAACCUGACCGAGGCUCGUGGCUGCGGUCAGGAAAAGAAACACCUGCGGCGGCUCCGUUACCCCCCCCCCCAGGCUCACCCCUGCCUGUCCUGACACCCUGUCAGAGGCUCCGGGGCACCUAUGUCCCCCUGCCUCCAAGUGCGUGUUCCUCAGCCUAUGAGAAGUGCAUGAAAUCAGACCCAAAAACUGAACCACAAGUCACAGCCUCCUGGCUCUGAGACAGGGUCAGAUGCAGUAAGACCUAUUUGAGUCGACCCUUCCAGGAAGAUCCGAAGCUACCUUAGGCUGCCUCUGUGUGGCGGGGCCAGGUAGGAGAGGGGAGAGGGAUGCUACUCUCAUUUUAUACUUUUCCCUCAGCUUCCAACUUCAUGCCAAUAACUCACAGUUAAAGAGGUCUCAGAACUAAGGGAGCUUUCAAGCUAGCUUAAGUGCAGCCGUUCUUGAGGUCUGCUGGAUGUCACCACCUAAGUCACACAGAUGGGCCCACCUGCCUUCCAUUCUCUGAGCUUGUGGUCACAGCAGGAGUCCUUCCAGGGUACUGCCUUGGUUUGGAAAUGAAGUCCGUCCGGAAGCCGUGUCCCCACCAGCUCUCGUUUUGAGCUCUAGCAUGCAGUCCAUGUCUCAGGGAGGAGUCACGAAGGUCCCAGAGUCACCAGGUGUGCAGAGAACCCUAUAAACCCUGCAGCCCUCUGAGUCAUGGCGAGGACUGUGGCUCCCCUCUGUGAGUCUAAAGCAGCUCAGGAACCCAUGUCCUCCACAAGGUUCAGGGGGAAUCUGAGGGCUGUAACCUGCCCAGGGAGCCUGAGUCAGGCUGAGAAGAGUCCUCAACUCAUACCCAGAAAUCUGAGCAGUCUGCUCCACUUUAUCCCCACACCCACACCACAGGCUCACGCACACACAUGCGUACACACAGUAACUCAUAUGAACACAUAUACAAACACAGUAGGCUCACAGACACACAUAUACACACAGCAGAUUCACUUACACACUUAUAAAUAUAUAGUAGGUUCAUAUGUACACAUUUACACAUGGUAGACUCACAUGUACAAGCAUACUAGGCUAAAGUGCACACUUAUAAACACAUAAUAGGCCCACACACACACACCUUUACAAACACAAAGUAGGCUCACAUGCACAACUUAUAAACACAUAGUAGGCUCAUAUGCACAUACAAACAUAUACCACCCAUAGACUCAUAUACACAUAUACAAACACACAGUAGGCUCAUAUGUACACACGAACAUACAUCACAGGCUCAUAUGUACAUAUACACAGGAGGAGAGCACGCGCAUAUGCAUGUGCACACACACACACACACACACACACACACACACCCUGAGGUUUGCAGACUGACAGGUAGGCCGGUUCCUGCAGACCCCACCAUCUCCAUCCCCACUCCGCCCAACCCCAGCGCUCUGGCUGGUACCCCUUUCUCUCCCCGCCUCCUUUCAGCUCCCCAUUGGGUGAAGCGCACUUACUGAAGCAGCAGCAGAGGGAAUAGGUACGGUCAUCUAAGUCCCAACCUGAAACGAACUCAUAGCUUGGCCCUUACAAGCCUGGAAAUGGGGGAGUCAGAACACAUCCUGUAAGAUGAGCAAAGCAUUAAUUCAACAUGGUGGUGACCAGACCCUCAGGUGUGACUGCAGCACCCCAGUUGUUGAGCCACAUAAGGAACAAGACCCCUUAGGCAAGGUGUGAAACGGCAUCCAGGAAUGUACUCAACCCAAAGGGUGUCACAUCAUCUCAGUAUGAGUAACCAGGCCUCACCAUAUCACAUGGAGAACCCCAACCAACCAACACCACAACUGGGAAAAAGAGACUUCAGCUCACUGCAGUCAAGACUGUGUGUGUGAGAGACGUGUGUGUGUGUGUGUGUGUGUGUGUGAGAGAGGUGUGUGUGUGAGACAUGUGUGUGUGAGAGACAUGUGUGUGUGAGAGAGACGUGUGUGUGUGAGUGAGGUGUGUGUGUGUGAGAGGUGUGUGUGUGUGAGAGGUGUGUGUGUGAGACAUGUGUGUGAGAGACAUGUGUGUGUCAUGUGUGUGUGAGAGACGUGUGUGUGUGAGAGAGACGUGUGUGUCGUGUGUGUGAGAGGUGUAUGUGUUGAGUGAGGUGUGUGUGUGAGAGAGACGUGAGUGUGUGUGAGACAUGUGUGUAUGUGUGAGAGAGACGUGUGUCAUGUGUGUGAGAGGUGUAUGUGUUGAGUGAGGUGUGUGUGUGUGUGUGUGUGUGUGUGUGUGUGUGUGAUGUGCACGUAGGCUGUAGUGGACAGGACAGCAACUCAGUCACAGAUGCAGUGGUGACAGAAAAAUACCGUUCAAAUCUUUCAUUGCUCAAGGAUACAACCAUGGAUUUAUUUAUUCCCAGAAAAUUGAAGGGUUUAUCCAAUGUGACAAACGCCUCUCGCCUGCCAUGAAACAUCUGUAGCCUUUAGUGGCUGUGGCUGUGUAUGACAGCUAUGCCUGUGCUAUGAGCCCAGCACUUCAGAGGCCAGCACAUGAAGAUCAUGAGUUCAAAGCUGACCUCGGCUACAAAAACUAAACACCCUCUCCUACUCCCCCAAAUAAAACCCAAACCAAAAAACCACAGCCAACAACUAAAAUCAGUAGAGGCAGGUGCCUGGGAAUCAGGGGCAGGCAGAGCUCUAGUUUGAGGCCAACCUCAUCUACAGCGUGAGUUCCAGGACAGUCAAGAGCUGCACACAGGGAGACCCUGUCUUGAAAAAUAAAAGAGGGGUGGCACAUUCUCCGUAUGUUCUGCAGUGCAGAUUCUUUUCCGACUCCCUCAGAUCACUAGGAAUCACAACACAUGUGGACUAUGGGAGUGGAGAAAUAAAAAUGGCCAAAGCACCUGGAAUCUAGAGGGCUAAGUUUAAAUCACAGCAGAACUAAACUACAAACACAGCAGAGACAGCAAAGCUACUUCUAAAUGUAGGGACCACAGUCAGCCCUGCUCACCUGCUGCCCUCACCAAAGAGGCUGUGGCAGGCCCCAGGCUCCUAGACCACCUGAGCCUCGGGGUGGGUUCUAUUCACUCCUGGCUGCACUACAUUCUUCUGUGGUUACUCUUGGCUUGUGCCAUCACCUUCUGAGGCCUGUUCCUGUGAAAAUCAGGACAGGACCAGUCAGUCACCUUGUAUGUUCACGGGUCUCCUCAGUGCAGGGCGGAGGGAUGCUGGCCAAGGGAUGAUGAAAUUUGAAACCAUGGCCAACAGUUUUCCUUUGCUGGAAACCCCAGUGCUUGCAAAACACUCACUCCUCAGGGGUUUCAAGUGGCCUCCUCAUAAAUGCCUCACCAUCAGCAACUGUGCCUUGCCUGUAGCCAAAGGCCAGAACCAGAGCAAGACUCCACCGACACCUCCUGUUCCUGUUGAUAGGUGUGUGACCUGGGCAAGCAUAAGUAGGUUGAGCGUAAGAACACAAAAUCCAAGGAGUCCUGGGAGAAGAAUGAAGGAAACCCAGGUGGAACUGACUCUCCACAGUAGCAGAGGUCUGGGGACAGAGCAGUGGAGUCAUGUGUACAAAGUUUCAUCCCCAGCACCAGAACAAAACAGAACCCAGAGCGAGCUGCUUGCUUCAUCUAAAGCUUCUUGUUAAAGGUCAAACUGGAUGUCUUCAAAGUCUAUUCAAGAGAAAGAAAAACCAGGAAUUAAACCAGGGGAAAGGCCAUUCUUAAUGAGGAUGUCAAAUUACUUAUUUAUUAAAAAAAAACCAACUUCUACACUAGCAAUUUUCUUGGAAAACAAACUUUAUAGAUAUGACUUACAAUGAGAUAGAAAUAUUGAGUAGUCCAGUAACCCUAGAACAAUGACUUUCACAGAGUGACUGAGCCUCCAGUGAGGAGCGCCAAGCACGCAGGUGUCAUGGGAUACCGUAUGCCGUGUAUUCUGUAGGUCACAAAAGGGUGUGUAGCCCUCCCCUGUCCCACACUGUGCCCUUCAACCUCACACUGUAUUUAUCCUCACUUCAUUGUUGAGAUGCCUUAGAGAAUUUAAGAAACGUAGACUGGAGGAGGAGGAGCACUAACUACUCAUCCAGAGAACCCAGGUUCAAAUCCCAGCACUUAGAUGGCAGUGCCCAACCAUUUAACUCCAGGCUCUGCCAAGGGAUCUGAUGCCCUCUUCUGGCCUCCAUGACUACUGUAUGCAUGUGGUGCACAGAAAUACAUACACAGGCUGGAGAGAUGGCUCAGGGGUUAAGAGCACUGACUGCUCUUCCAGAGGUCCUGAGUUCAAUUCCCAGCAACCACAUGGCAGCUCACAACUGUCUGUAACUCCAAGAUCUGACACCCUCACACUCAGACAUACAUGUAGGCAAAACACCAAUGCACAUGAAAUUAAAAAAAAAAAAAAGAAAUACAUACACACAUACCAAAAAUGAACACAAGGAAAUGUAGGUGGGCCAACAACAGGCACUCUGCAGCCCCAGCUACCUGGCUGGAGAUCGCUUGGGACCAGUUGGAUAACACACUGAGAUUUUGUCCUUUAUAAAACCAGUAAGACUAAAACAGCAAAAUCUUAAGAAACAUCUAGAAAGCUGUGCUCAGACCAGACCUCCCAAUUGCUCUGAUAAUAUCCUGAUUUUAACCUUCCCUGGCAGUGUCCUGAAGUCCAUGUAGGUCCUCAAAGUCUACGUCAGCAAAACAAAACUCAAGGUUUGAUGGGGCACGCUGGUACACCCUUAACUCCAGCACUGCGGAGGCGGCAGGGGAAGGCCAAUGUCUGAGUCUGAGGCCAGCCUGGUCUACAAGUUCCAUCCAGGCCAGUCAGGGCUGAAUAGUAAGAACCUGUCUCAAACAAAGAAACAAACAAACAAACAAACAAAAAAACCUUUAGGCCUGCAAAUGGCUAGGUUUAGCAAUCAUAGAUGAGCUAUUGAUAUUACUAAAAUCAUGAAUGUAAUGCUGAGACUGGUCCUUCUCAGGAGACAGCUCCGUACUUCAGCCUGUGCCCCAGCUCAGCUGAUGCUCUAGAAGACACGUAUUUGAAGUAUUGGAUGCUAACUCAGGGUCACGGCGCAUGUCUGAAUACAGAAGGAAGGAAAGUUGCUCUUUGGAGCAUUGGUUAAGCUCAGGGGUCUGACGUUUGCAGGAAGACAGACCCAUCCGAUAGCCGCAACACUCCCGUUGUCUCAUAAUCAUUCAAGGUGCUCACCUACCUCCCAGAGUGAGCACGGGGUGCCCUGUGAUUGUACAGCUGUGUUAAGGCCCCUGAAGGCCACAGAAACCCUCCAGCAUUCUGAGGAUUAGCAGUGACAGAAUCCGUUCAUGGAUGAUGAGCGGCAGGAAACUGAGUGUCUUUGCUCAAGUCUGAAGAAAGGGGUCUGAAGAAAGGGGUCUGAAGAAAGGAUGAGGGGCACACAGAAAGAGCCCAAGUCUUCCAGGACAUCAAGACAGUGUGAUCCUUCCACAACCUAGCUGCUCAUGACAGCAGAUACAGCAAUAUGGCUGACAGUUGCCGACAUGACAUUUUCCUAAUCACACUGUUCUUUUAAAAAGAAAAAAAGCACAAGAAAGGCUGAAUAAAUGAAUAAAUCUAAUAUCAUGGCUUUUAAAAAUUAAAAUCUUCACAGAACCACCGAGUCAAGCUCACAGGAGACAACGGUGUCACCUGACUGGAACCUGUCACACAGGUGCUGCCUGUCCUUAGCCUAGGGCCUGUGGUGUCUGUGGAAACCUGAAGAAGCUUCUUCUACAGUCGGGUGGCUUUUUAAUUCUUGCAGUAGUGGAGAGAAAGCUAUAGCCUUCAAUCUACUCGUAAAACACAGGUGUGGCUAGUGAUGGACUCAGGACACACCUGCAGCAAAGCCCUGCCUGAGUUUGAUCCCUGGACCAUGUGGUGGAGGAGGAAAUUGUUUCCUACAAGUUGUCCUCUGUAAACACAUAACACAUACAUUAAUCCCUCUGUAUACACACAACACAUACAUUAGUUCCUCUGUAUACACACGACACAUACAUUAAUUAUGCUGGAAGACACCACCUGGGGAUGUGGCUCACUGGCAGAAUGCUUGCCUGGCAUGCAAGAGGUCCUGGGUUCAGCUGGGGGGUGGUACAGGCCUUUAAUCCCAGCACUCGGGAGGCAAGGCAAGAGGAUCUUUGAGUUGGCCUGGUUUACAAAGCAAGUUCUAGAACAGCCAGGCUGUUACACAGAAAAACCCGUUUUGAAAAAAAAAAAAAAGGGAAGAGGUGGCACGAACAACACACACACACACACACACACACACACCCCAGAAAGAACAGUAAGAAAGGAUCAGCAGAGGCAGGGCCUCGAGGAAGAUAUGCUCCUGGCUGACAUCAAAGGGUGCUUGCCAUCCUCAGUCCAAAUCACUGUGCUGCCUCUUCACAUCUGCUACAAAGGCCAGAGAGUAGGACGAUAGCCAGGGCUGGUGAGAGUGCAGAGCUGGGACCUUGGAAACUCGUCACGGGAGCAGCAGCGGACACAACGGCAGCUCCUCAGAUUCAGUUAAACUACUGUACCAUCUGGAACUAGUAGCUCUUCUCGAGGUACAUAAACUAUAAAGUCAAAUAAAGACGAACACACACGUUCAUAGCAGCAUUGUUUAGAUCAGGCAAUAAGCAGAAACACCUCAAACCUCCAAGGGAACGGAGAAACGAAACGUGUUAAAGCACGGAAGACUACUCAGCCACAUUGAGGGAUAAAAUCAUGGCAUUCACUGCAAUACAGAUGAACCUUGAAGACACUGAACCACAUGAGGUAAGGCAGACACAGAGAGUCAGGCGUUGUAUUACACUUACGUGAGGUACCAAGUACAGGCAGGGCCACAGGGUAGCACGCACAAAUGCUAUAGGGAUGGGAAGGAAGGACAGACAGAAGGCUGUGAGGACAGAGCCACCACCUGUAGUAAUGAAUGAAUCAACAGCUCACAAUAUCACAUACACAACCACAGAACGGCUACCUCAAAGUCACAGAUUCUGAGACAUGUUAUAAGUCAAUUUCCCUAAAAAACAACAUUUAAAAAGAAAACUUCUUACCAAAAAUAAAACAGGAACAUUGAAAUACAUAGCUAUUUAAACGUAAAAACCCUAUAAGCAAGAAAGAACAACAGAACAAACACACCUAUAAGCAGAUCACUCCAAUUCAUCCUGUGGGCCAAACAGAACAAGGACCUCUCAAAGCACCCUGAAGUUGGGCUGGCACACAGCCCCCAGGGCCAGUGCAAUCCUGCUUCAUCUGUUGAUGGAUCCCACCAUGGGCUGUGUGGAACAUGGCUGUAAGGUUCAUGUUUUCUCAGUGAUUUAAGUAUGCAUGGGAUAUUGAUGGGCCCCAUGCGGACAUAACUACCAGAGAUAACUCUUCCUGACUGGAAAACCCAUGAGGACAGUUAUUUCUCUAGGCCUAAUUCAAGUCCAAAGAUACUGACUAACCCUUCUUAUACAAGAGAAAAGUCAACAAGAGACAGCCCAGGGGGAGAGCUGGUGUCCUGACACAGUGUUUUUUUUAGCCAGUAUGCUGUUUGUCUCCCCGAUGGCCCUUGUGGUGAAGCCAGUGUCUACAGUUAAGGCGGAGUACGGUGGACAUGUCUUCUCAAGAGUUAUCAUCACUUUGACAGAAAACCACCACCAGCCACAUGCCAAAACACGUCAUUUCAAGGAACAAAUUUCAUGAAUGCAAAGCCUACAUGAAGAGGCCUUGGUUCUGCUCUACUAAAAAUGUCUAUUUGCCAAGAGAUCUGGAUAGCAAUGGGGUGUUGGCUGGCCUUCAUUUGCUGAAACCGGAAUGCUGAUAAAGAAAACACCCAGGUCCCCAUCCUGACCCUGCUCCUUGACACCAGGAACCCUGAACGCACACAUGAGCUGAGUCAUCAGCUGCCUGUGACCUCAACAAGCUGUGUGACCACAGGUCACUGAACCGCCAGCAGUCACCCCAUUGUCUGAGUAGCAGGAAUUAUCUUCGAGAUGCACAUACGUGAGAGAGGUAUCCAUAUCAUGAUGUAAUCAAACAGUUUGAAGUUACAAAGGCACUGGCGGAGCCUAGGGGAAGGCAGAUCCAGCCGACUGGGCAAAGCAAUUAUCCAGCUAAUCACUGAUGGUGCUAAGGAAAACAGCCAUUUUGAAAUAACCAAAUAAGAGUCUUACCUCACGCCAUACACCAAAGCAACUUCUGGAAGCUGAAAGGGUUGAUUGUCAAAAUGGAUCCAAAAGAAUGUGUGAUGUACGUGACACGCUGACAACUGCAAACCUUAAAUCCAUGCUGUGGACCUGAUGGACAGGAUUGUCCACAGAGCACUGGGAUAAAAAUGAAGGAGGCUGACAUGGAGAGGACAGAAGCGAAUGCUCCAGAUGUUACAGUUGGUGAGUCCUAGCUCUCGAGGUCUCUCUCUCUCAAAACCAGGAAAGAGCAAAAUCAACGACAGAAGUGCCAGACUGAGGGAGCUAUUCACUGGUCAUUCGCUGGGUGGAAAUGGCUGAAACUCAUCCAUGGGGAGCACACCUGAGAACUAGAGUUUAAGGUUUUCCUAAUGGUUCCUAAACUCUGGGCCAGGAGUUUCUCUUCUGAGAAAGAACUUCUCCCUGUCUUUCCCCAGCAGGAAGCCAGAACACAUCCCAUGCAGGAACAGAGGAGCAGAGGCUCUGACCAAAGGAGUGGCCAAUGUGGGAACUCAAGACAACACAUAGCUCAGCCCUCUUGCUUUCAGGCACACAAUGGGCUUGGGGAGAAAGGGUGGGUUACCCCAGGGAGACCAACAGUCCCUCCUCAACUUGAGCAGCUCAGGAAUAAACCUCCAUGUCCCCCAUUGAACAAGGUGUUCACAGCAUCAGGCUCAAAACACCAAAGAGCUGGCACUUUGUGCCUUGAGAAGCUCGACCAGCAUGCUGUCUGUUUUGUCCUGUGUCACUCAGUAAAAGUGUAAUCACAUCAGGCUUCCUGACCCCACUCAUCACACAAACUUAAGUCCAGAGAGUCAAAGCAGUGAUCACAUCAGGCUUCCUGACCCCACUCAUCACACAAACUUAAGUCCAGAGAGUCAAAGCAGUGGGGCACAGCAAGGGGCUCACAAAACAGUUUUGAAUUAGACCAAGUUUUCUGAGCUCGUCAUAAAAUGCAGAAAGCAAUGAAACAAUACCAAUAAACAAGUACAUGUGUAUAUUUAAAAUACUACAACAGCAAACUAUCAUAAACUAUAAAAGUCAGAGAAAACCAGAAGUGUUUGCAAUACAAAUGGUUGGUUUCCUUAAAAUGUAAAGAGCACUUACAAAUCAGUAACCACACCAAUCAAAACUACAAUUAAGUACCAUUUUGUUCAAAGUUCUAGCAAGCUGGGACCAGGAAAAGGCGGGUUAGGGUGGACCACAGCAGCCAUUUCAGUGCUGGCACUGAAAAUUAAAUUCUAUUUAGACGCACCAGAACCCUAGUGGUCUACACAACCCUCAGGAACAGUGUCUCAGAGAGCAGCCCUUCUCACUGUGCUUUCCCUGACUGUGAUCUUGAGUCACAUUCUAUUGGGGGAGGGUGUUGGUGUUUUUUUGAGACUAUGCAGCCACAGAACUCACUAUGCCGACCAGGCUGCCUUCAAAUUCAGAGAGAUCUACCUGAGUUUGCCCCACAAGCGCAGUAAUUAAGGGAACACCACCACUCCAGGCUCUUGGGUGCAAUUUACUAGAUUUGCAUAAACUCACCAGCAUUUCUACCAGAACAGUGUUAUGGAGCCUGCCAAUGACAAAGGCUACCGAACUGGACAAUGACGAUGUGACAGCCACAAGUAAACACCAAGUAACAUACACAAGUAACAUGCUCUGUGGGCCACUGAGAUAGCUCAGAGACUACAGGGGCCUGCCACCAAGUUUGAUAACCUGAUUCGAUUCCUGCCACCCACACGAUGGAAGGAGAGAACACUGCAAGUUGUCCUUUGGCCUCACAUGUGCCUCAUGGAACUUAUAACAUGCUCGCUCCAUGUGUAACUCUUAAAUAGUAUUCUGUGAUAGUAGCAACUGUUUUGGAAGGGAUAGGGCCUGCAGGGGCAGGUCGUCAGGGUCUAACUGUACAACAGGGUGACACGAAUGAGCACAUACUUUUUUUUUUUUUGCCAGGACAUAGCCCUGUCUGUCCUGGAACUCACUCUGUAGACCAGGCUGGCCAUGAACUCAGAGUUUUGCCUGCCUCCCGAGUACUGGGAUUAAGACAUAUACCACCACACCUGACCCAGUCACACACCUUCUGAUGUUACACAAAGUCAGGGCACUGGGAUGGCUCAGCAGGUAAAGGUGCUGGUUGCCAAGCCUGCCAACCUCAGCUCAAUCCCCAGAGAUGAGUGGUGGAAGGAGAGAACCAAUCCAAAAGCAUUGCCCUCCGACCUUUACCGUGCACUGGCAUACACACACGAGUGCAAGAAAUAUUUCAGUCAGGUUAGGUUAAGCCACUGGUGGAAAAUGGAAUAACAUAGUUUAUUCUUGUAUAAUUAGAAAAUUAAGAUGCCUUAAGGGAAGUUAAAUACUCACACAUGAAUGACCAGGAACGCUCUAGGAGAAUUGAGUUGGGAGGCAGGGCUGCCCUCACCAUAUGUCGAAGCACAAACUGUAGCACUUAGACUUGGAAUUGAUACAGAAGCAGAUCAGCCAAUGCCUGGUGGCUGUAAGUUCAGUUAUGUGUAGCAACAAGAGGCUUUCUAUCCACGUCACUCCUUACAAAGUCCAGACAGAACCAACAGAAAUAAAAGCAAGACUGCAAAAGGAGUGGGACAAAGCAUGGGGCUCAAGGAAUAGUGAAUUAGACCAAGCUAUCUGAGUUCAUCAUAAAAUGCAGGAAAAAAUAACAAUAAACAGGUACAUUUGUAUAUAGUAAAGUCUCAAUUGCAAAGUGUCAUUAAACUAUAAAAAUCAAAGAGGAACAUAAGUAUUUGCAACACAAAUGGUUAGUUUCCUUAAAAUGUAAAGAGCACUUUAAAUCAAUAAACAUACCAAUCAAAGUGAAAAUUACCCUUCACUUCUCACUAAUAACCAAGUUUAGGGACAAGUGCUGGUGAGGGUGUGGGGAAAGGCCAACGGGAAGCCUCUUACAGAAGGCUAGCUGGUGCAUCCUCGGGUGCCUAUGCUCCCCCACGGAUGCUCCCCAUGCCUACCCACAUGAAGACCAUGUAAAUAAGUAUUUAACACUUGGUAAAAGACAGUGUUGCUAGAAGCAGCUCAGUUGUUCCCUGGAGCAAGGGUGAGCAGUUCAAAUGUGGCUACAGCUCUGUGAGCUCAACAGCCCUGAACGCAAGCCAAGGUGAGCUGAGCCUGCAUACUACGGCACGGCACGGCACCGUGCACUCUGGAAAGCAAGAGGUCACCUACGCAUUUGCAGUUUUUUUUGGUUCUUUUUUUUUUUUUUUUUCGGAACUGGGGACUGAACCCAGGGCCUUGCGCUUCCUAGGCAAGCACUCUACCACUGAGCUAAAUCCCCAACCCCUACAUUUGCAGUUUUAACAUAAACAAUUCUCACUUAAACAUAUUCUGUGUGUAUAAGGAGCAAAAGCUGGCGGGAACUCGCCGUGGAGUCACACAGUCAGCAGAGGGAAUGGUACACUGUCACUAGAGUGAAGGGAGGAGCCCAACAUAACCUGUUGGUGAGGAAGAGGCUGCCAGGAAGAAGCUGGGCCCAUCAUCCAAUGUCCAACUCUCAGGGGCCGGAGGCAAGGACGAGACAGAAGGAGCUCACACCUGUUCUCUGGGCACUUGGUGGCCUUAGAGGACAGAGUACCCUUAAUCCAGAAAGCCAUGUGGGUGUAUUAAAGGGAACAAGCAAGACUGAAUGUGGCUUUCACAAGUGUCACAGCCCCCUUCAUUAAGGUUUUCUGCAGCCCAGGCUGCACAGCAGAGGCUGGCCUCAAAUAACCGAUCCUCCUGCUUCUACCAUCCCAGUGUGGCAUGACAGGUAACCACACCUGGUUUGACUUCUGUUUUUAACCUUCUUGAGGUAAGAACCAGAAAGCUGCCUGAGAGUCAAAAUCCAUCAUCAUUCUAGAAGCACCUGCUAAGUUCUGGUAGGGACAUGCAGUGCAGGCCCUCGCCAGCCCCAACAGAACCUCAUGACUGGUGGGAGACCAGAAGUAGUUGAUUUUGGUUGUAGAAACACUAGCCACUGAACAAAACAGAGCCCGAGAGUCAGUCUCAAGAGUGGAGAGUCAGAGCGUUCGUGAAAGCCUGGAGCUACAGCUGGGAGCCCUCAGCCUCCUUCAGGCCUGGCUUCAUUAGUGUUCCAAGGAGUAAAAACUCAGUGAGCACCACUUGCCAUGAUCAGAAAGCAGUUGUAAAAAUACUCCACAGUACGAGUCCAUUUAAAAACAGAUUAGUACCAUUAGAUAACUUCCUGAGGGAAGAUGUCCUAGGGACAGAAGUACUGGCACCAGACACUGGAGAGAGACAUUAGGAAGAUAAUGUGCUGGGGUGGUUAAGCAUUUUACUCCCAAGUUCGUGACUUAUAAAAGUUACAAUUACAUACAGCCCUGUCCAUUAUACCAGCACCUACAGACAUAUCUGCCCAGACUUACCUAAAUCUGCAGUUUUGGACUCCUUGGAAGAGCUACUCUCAUGCAAUAAGCAGAGGAUAAGUCAGCACAGAGUAACUUUUCUACCUUUGCAAAAUCACAUCCUUGUGUACCUUAGACCUUAGGGUUUCUAUCCUAAUUAAGCCAUGGUUAUCAAAUUUAUACACACAGAUGCCAAGAAUCGAACAUACCAGGUAGUCUCCAUGGGCUACUGUGGACGUGACAGAGCCAAGAAAGAACUGGCAGAAAUGUGCAGUUCCAUAUGCGAUUGCCUAAGACGUAAGACAAACCAACAUGGACUCUCACAUUCACGUACGUACGCAGGCCUGCCUGUCAUCGCAACAGAACACAGGCAACAGACCCACAGCCGCUAGCCACUCAGACGCUGGGGCACAAGGGACUGCCUGAGAACAUGAUCUCACGGUGCUGCUGUCAAUCCUGACACCUCUCAUCACCGGUAGGAAAGCUGCAUAGUUAGCAGCUGUGCGCUCACGGAGCCCCCACCACUAAGCAGAAUCACGUCAUCCUGAGACGUUCUACAGAAGAAAGGGGUGCAACCUCUCCCCCAUAGACAUAUGACUAGGAGACCAGCAGGACACAGCCUAUCGGUGAUGACCACGGCUACCUCUGGAUUGUGAGUGCUUAGUCUGGGUUCUGAGUUACUUCUCUAUUGGCGCUAUAGAAGAGGCAUGGGGUGUCAAGCAGUUCUGUACACAGCAGCAGAUAAAUUCAUUUAAAACAGAGGUUCCAGAAAAUCACAAGCAGUUUAAUUCUUCUACAAAGUUACAAACAACAAAGUAUCUGCUUUAUAGAGUUCAUUGGGGUAAGGAUAGUUCAGCAUGACGUUGGCCUGGUGAGGUGUGAAAGGCACGGAGGGAGCAAGCUACUUUUGCUACUGCCCUGGUUUUCAUAUUGAUAGAAGAGUCAGACGUUGACAAAUAAUUAAAGUAAUGGAAGUGCUACACUAUGAACCAGACACUAAGGCGAGUCAGGUCUGUGCAUUCAAGAGCCAACCAGGCCAGGACACUCCUUCACAGGACCUUCCUACCAGACACUAAUGUGACAGCUGUUAAGAUCAGUUAUUUGUGAAGACAAAAACUAGAGCCCGAAAUGUCCACACCUUUGGACACAUAGUUAUGACAGACCUGCAGGCACGGGGGGGAGUGGAGCAGUCGCUCACCUUCAUUCCUAGCAGCGGGAAUUCGCUUGCAUGAGAAUAGCUAUGUCUACUGAGCGAGCCCAGGCAUGAACAGUUGAAGAAAAUGAGAAGCAACUCCAAGUAACUUUUUCUUUUUUUUUUUUUUUUUGGUUCUUCCCCCCCCCCCCCCCCCCGAGCUGGGGACCUCCGAACCCAGGGCCUUGCGCUUCCUAGGUAAGCGCUCUACCACUGAGCUAAAUCCCCAACCCCCUUUUUCUUUUUCUUUUUUCUUUUUUUCGGAGCUGGGGACCGAACCCAGGAACCCAGGGCUGCAAGCGCUCUACCGCUGAGCUAAAUCCCCAACCCCAACUCCAAGUAACUUAUCAGAUAUGGUCAGAUUUAGAUGGUUUAAAUCCUUGUACAUCAUGACAAUUGAGAAAAUAAGGAUAUAUAUAUAUCUGAUAGAACUGGUCCGAGCUAACCCCUCCCAAAUACAAACACUUCAGGGUCCCAGUGGCCGAAGAUGGAAAAUACACACUGUGGGUUAAGCUGUAAGACUCACGACCAGCCAACAGUUAGAAAUGUAGAUUAAGACAUGGCACUUUUAAGGUGUGAGGAUGUAACUCAGUGAUGGAGUACUUGCCUACUGUUUUUAAAACAAAAUAAUAACAAAAACCAAAGGAACAAUACAGACUUUAUGAUGUUGGAUCUGGCAACGAUUCCUUAGGUAAGACACCAAAAGUGCAGGCAGCAAAAAGCAAACACAUUAACAAUGCCACAGGUUAAAACCUGAGCUGAGAAGAUGGCUUAGUGGGUAAAGCGCUUGCUCUCAAACCUGAAGGACAAUUGGAUCCAAUGCCGCAGAUCCGCAGAGUGGAAGGAAAGACAGACAGCCACAAGCUGUCCUCUGACUUAGGAGUGCUAUGAGUGGAAUCAUGCUCAAACAUACACAAAAAUAAUACAUGUAACUAUAAAAAAUCCAGCAGACACCUUUAUGGAGUGGGAGAAAAUAUCAGCCAAAUCACAUCUGAUCACAGCAUUAGAACCCAGAAUACAGCCAAAUCUUGCAGGUCAACAACGGUAACAAAUCCAUAGCCUUUUCAACAGGAAAAGGACUCGAAUGGACAUUCCCCCAAGAAGUCUACAUGGUCUAUAAUAUGGAGUGGGAGGACACAGUGAAUGUCACCCUACGUCCAUCAGGAUGGCUGUGCUGGAUCCUACAUAACUGAAGAUUGGGUCUCAGAAAGAUGCCUGCAUCUAUCCACCCACCUGUGCGUCCAUCGCACAGCACGCAAGUCACGAGCAACAGGUCCACGGCAGAGACAAUGCCAGCACGCUCAUCAGCACGCAGAUGCCGAAAGACACAAAAUACCAGUUACUCAGCUUGUGUGAAAGCAAGGAAAAUCACACAUCCAGGAUCAAAAUCACCAGUGAACAAGACCAACCCUGGACUGUGGAUAAAGUGGCCGGCGGCACAACCGUGACCUUUUGAGGUUGAUCCCUGGGAUCUACAGGGUGAGAGGAGAGAAUCGACUCCUGGAUUGUUCUGACAGUGAAAAUAAAAGAGAAACCCUAUGAUUCUAUAAACAAGCAGUCACUCACGGAAACGUGAAGCGGGAAGGGACUGGGUGGGGAGCCCACCUUUUAACUUUUAACUUUUAACUUGCCUAGUGGGUAGUUUCAGGUUUUGCAAAGUCUGGAGGCCAGUUGCCCAGCUCAAAUCUGCUAAACAGCACUAAACUGUACUUACAAAUGUCUAAAGUUUCUGCUGAGUGUGUAUCACAAAAACGUUACAGUAGCAAUCAGCCAAUCAAUUGAAAUAAUCUGUUAAGGACACCACGUAAGCAAAUGGCACACAUACAGGGAAGUCUGAACCAUAAAAUUGCCCAUGUGCACUGGUCAAUCACACCACUCUAGAGGUCUACGCACACAACAGCUUCACAGAGAGGUCUAGAGAACACUUACCUCAGAAAAAUCUCUUCUGGACAGCAACUGAGCAAUACGAACCUAAGGAAGACUUGACUCCGUUCCUUCUACAAACUGAUUUAUUUCGAUAUCUCCAAGGAGUAACAGAGGUGAUGAAGCUUGAGCAACAAGUCAGCCACUAAACCACCAUUUCCCAAAAGGAAACCAACAGCUGAAAGCAGGCUGGUGCACCUGCCCAGCAGCGGACCACGCCUGCUGCUGAGCUGGUGGCCAGAGUCACCCAGCUCCAGAAAGUUACCCUCUCGCCAUCAUGAGUCCGUUAUGUAAAAGGGAUUGUUUAAACAGUCAAGCAAUGGAGCACUAUGGUACCAGUAAAAGGAUGCUCAGGACAUAGUUCUUAUUAUGUAUCAUGGAAAACCAGUUAUAGAACUAAAGCACAAUCCUACCGUUUAUAUAAAGUGUACAUAUAGCGGAUGCCCAGGAACAAAAUGAGAUAUGUAUGCCAGUAACACUUAUUAAUGGAAAAACAUUUCCCCUUUGCUUUUCUGCAAAACUUAAGAUCCUUAUUAACCUGUCAGAAGCACCCACAUUUGCCUCCCCACAAGCAUCUAAGACAUGGACACAACCCUGGUAAAUGCCUUCGCAGCCACUCAAUGCAGACAGAAGUUCUCAUUUGGGGGCUGGGGAUUUAGCUCAGUGGUAGAGCGCUUACUUAGGAAACGCAAGGCCCUGGGUUCGGUCCCCAGCUCCGAAAAAAAGAACCAAAAAAAAAGAAGUUCACAUUUAAGGUCCUUCUGGUGGCUUAACAUCCUAAGACAAACUCAAUGGCAGGUGUCAGGAUUGGAAACAUCAGUUCCCUUUUUGUAGCAGGCCAGCAUCUGAAUUUCUGGUUGUUUCUAAGCUGGGAGGAGUCAAGCAAUGACUGUGGUUAGGAUAUGUUUAUCUUUAAAGACUGUUUGCUGCUCCCUGCUCCCCUGCAGUCAUACAGAAUCGUACAGGAUCAACCCCACACUUCUGAGUUCCAGCUGCCACUGGCAGUUCAGAGAAUGACCCCAACCAAGGCUUCUGGUUGAGGAAUGGUGAUACUAUAGCCAUCCAAUGACCCCAGGACAAAGAGCCUGUGCAGGACAAGUGGCCCAUAUCUGUAUUCCCUGAGGCAGAACUACCAUAAGCUCCAUAGCAACCUGGGCUACAGUGUAAGAAUGUCUCAAAAUAAACAAACCCAAGCCAACAGUCUUACAAGUCACCACACAGGAGAGCUCAGCCUUUGGUUGUUAGUAAGCCAUUUCUUUUUUUUUUUUUUUUUUUGGUUCUUUUUUUUUCGGAGCUGGGGACCGAACCCAGGGCCUUGCGCUUCCCAGGUAAGCGCUCUACCACUGAGCUAAAUCCCCAGCCCCUAGUAAGCCAUUUCUAACACUGCAUAUAUUCCUUAUCGUUCUGUUGAUACAACAUGGAGAACUUUGUAAGGAGAAAAACCAAAAGGUGCUAAGAGAAAAAGAGGUGCAGAAACCAGGUAAGAAGCCAGGAAGAGGCUAAGAUAAACCAGAGACAAGAAAGGUGGGUAGGUAAGCAUGGCGAUGCACACCUCUAAUGCCGGAAACAUUUGGGAAGCAGCUAGUAAAUCCUAGGCCAGUCUGAGCUACAUAAUGAAACAUUCUCAAAAUAUCAAAGUAAGUAAACAGAAAAGUGUGGGUGGAGAGAAGCCCCCUCAUCUGCUGCAACAUUUAACCCUUGCAGUCCCAGAAGCCUAGACAGAAAGCUGCUGGGACACCCCAUUCUGGCUUCUCAGUACAAGUGAGAGGUCACCGAUAAGACAGAUCCAUCAGGAAAAGGAAUACACAUGUAGGAGCUGAGACAGCAGCCAGCCUUGCUGCUCUCAGGAAGAGUAAGGCCACUUCUCAGCCCCGCUUGGUCUCCAGCCCACUCCAGUUCAAGACUCAGAACCAAGAGUUCCAUACAGAGCCACACAGGCCGCCCUCUGCUUUUAGCAAGCAGGCUCCAGUCCUAGCAGAGGCUGGUGGUGUUCUAAGGUCUAAUUUGUCUAAGUGGCAGCGUUUUCUAGCUUUAAUGACACACCACAGCCAAAUUUAGAGCAGGCUGGCUCCCAUGAUGAAUCAGCUACAUACCCAGGAGUCCAAAGGCUUCGACUACACCCUCCCAUGGUAAAAAAAAAAAAAAAAACCCUUCAUCAUAUACCAAAAGACGCCCACUUACCUCCUUAGGCAGAGAGAAUUAAUGUUCAGACUGAAACUGAGCCCACACCAGCUUCCAAGAGUGAAAAUAUGAAAAGCUCAUACCAUGCGAAGACAUUUUCUCUAAACUUCAUGAAAAACCAUACUGUUUGGAAUACAAACUAGGAAUGUUCUAGAUUACGGUUCAGAAUACUCCCUUACCUGCAGUGCCAUUAUCCCAUGUGACUUUGUGUAUAGCCAUUGCAAACCCCUAGUCCCACCCUCCUUAGUUGACAGGCUGUCUAGACCAGUUCUGCCUGGACGGUUACCUGCUCUACUGCUUCAGUGUCAGCACUGGUGGUAGUGAAUCUAGGCCUAACCAUAUGAAGGCAGAGUGACAGAGGCCGAGAAUAUAACAGCCAUGACAAUUCUAAGGAGCUUCAAUCUCAAACCUUUAUUUUGCUGUAAAGGGGAGAAAAAUGAUUAGUGGGGGGUUUGUACACAACACUUUCAUACAAAGAAAUGGGUGCCGCAGGCCUGAUGUCCAGCUUUCUUCACAUUUCCCCAUUCCAAUGUGACCAGCAAGCAUGUUGCUGUUCCAAUGACAGUGACCAUGCCCUGGUCACACCAUUUUUAAGCACUCAUAAAACGAAUACACAAACAGGGUUUUCAGAGCCAAUUUUUAGAGAACAUUAUCUAGUAAGCGGUUCACGCCCAGCCCCCUGCCCUUGCCCAGUUUUCACUUUUAUUUCCCAAAUGUUUUGACUGACAGUUUCCCCUCUGCUCGGGGUUUAAAGCACCAUUCAAGCCCAGCCCACAAUGUAUUCAGCAGUGCAGCCUUAGCCAAGUACAUGAGUGAGGUUUUCUACCAAACAUCACAAUGACCUCAUAGCAAGCGCAAGACCAUGUGCCCUAGUCACAAUGAGUGAUUUGAAAGGUUAAAUAAGCAAUCCCUGUUGACUUCCGGCCAAUUCCAGAAAUUCUAGACAUGUUUUGAAGGCAUGGCUCACACAUUAAAUUCCUGUAUUGUAAUAAGUCAUAGAUCACGCAUUAGAUCACACAUUAAUUUCCUGUGUUGUAUAAGGCAUGACUCCCACAUUAAAUUCGUUCAGAUAGUAGCAGACUGCCCCCCCCGCCCCCAGCUAAGGACCCAAGGCCUUGCGCUGGCUGGGCAAGCGCUCUAAAGAGCAAUAUCCCCCGCCUGCAUUAGAAUUUUUUUUCCCCCCUGGGGCUGGGGAUCGAACCCAGGGCCUUGCGCUCUACCGCUGAGCUAAAUCCCCAACCCCUGCAUUAGAAUUCUUAUUCACACAGUAAGACAGAAUUUGAAUUAGAGACCCAGAAGCCUCUGGCAACCCCAAGUCAAACAAGAGCCCACAGUGUUGGCAUUGACAAGCCUCUCCCCAGUUAUACUUCAUGGAAAUCAGCUCUCCAGCACUGCCCACACCCACAGGCCGGCCUGUGACACGGUGUUGACACCAUCUAUUGAGCAACUAAGAAAAGCUAUUCAAACCCUUCCCCAUAAAGAGUGAAGCAAAACAAUUUUGCUUUUCCCCUUGUAGGAUUUUGGUAUUUUCCAGGCAACUGUCUGUGCAUCUCAACCUUCAGUCACCGCAUGAAGGAUUUUCAUGGGUCUUUAGAUUUUCAUCUGAGUUAUUUAGUUCCCAAGCUAUUAUUCCCACCAACCCACAUUUCCAAGCACAUCCCUUACUGGCACCAACUCCACCAUCAUCAAUCCUCUGGACAAUACACCAUUGCCAAGCUGAGCCCAGCUCUCCCCCACAAGUCCCAGUCCCACAUUUGGUGCCAAAAGUACCACCAAGCUUGACCCAGUAAAACUCAAAUUUCACCUCGGAAGGCCAUGUGCACAGUCAGACCUGUCAUUCAGCAGAGCAGCGCUUGCCCAUCACCCAGUACCAAACCCACGGACCACCGCAGGCCACUGUUCCCUUAAUACAAAGCCAUCCCAAGUUAGAUAUGCCAUCUACAAACUACAGAAUUUGCGGCUAACUCGUGCCUUCCCACAUUUAAAAACACAACCCCCCAACCCAUUUAACAACAGGCUUCAUCUAAGACUCUUCCACACCAGUCAUUUAAAACCCAACAGUUUUCCCCAACACCCAAAAGUUCUGUUAAGAAUUCCUCUGACCAAUGCAGAGGCAGGCGGGCCGCAGACGCAGGGAAGGUGGCGAGGUCACUGGGCUCCUGCUGCAAAACCAUCUACAAGGCAUCAUCAAUCAUGCUGGGCUGAAGUUAAAGUGUCCUACACCUUAAGCCAUCUUCUCCGGGCCAAGUUCGUAGCACAGAACUAGAAAGGCUGGAGGCUUGUUCACAAGACGCUGCAACUGAACGCCUCUACCCCCAGGAACGGGGGUGCCUGAAUCCGGAAAGAGCCAUGCUCCCAGAACAAGACAUUCAUCUGGAACAUUCAUAGCUGACGGCCCCUCCAGCUGGAAGCACCCUCCCACCCCCCUACAAGCUGACUUAAACGAUGGCCUUCGACACACAGGGAUUCCUGAGAAAGGCCUGGACACGCGGCAGCGCAGAGCUUCCUAAGCCUCUGGAAUUCACUGUGCAGACAUCAACUUAGGCAGCUGUCUCCUCCAGGGUGUGCCCUCCUGUACUGCUACGACUCACACUGGCAGGGGGGCUCCAUGUCUCCUGGCGCCAUCUGCUUGCCUUGGUGAACGCUAUAGUAACAAACCACGUCCAUGAAGCAUUUGGGUGACUGGAACCACGGCUGUGAACCCACCCAAGGGUCCACAUUCAAGUCCCUCCCUCUGUGAAUCAAUACCAACCCUCCCCGCCCAGUCAGGGUGUCCUCCGACUUUACCAGUAAUACCAAAAUGCGGAGCCCAAGACUCCCACACGGGCUCUACAUCUUCCCCAGGCUUACCAGAUGACCCAGAGGCAAGGUUUUAAGUGAACCCUUAACCUCAGAGUGAGGGGGAAGAGUAGGGAAGAGUGAGACCACAGAAGAGGAAGCACGGAACCUAGGCAAAGUCCAGAGAGGGCACUGACAUCUGAAAAAUAAAGUCGUGAUCAAUGCGGCCCCAAGACGCGCGCCUUCGAUCUCCUUGGUCCCCGCCUGGCAGCCAAAACUGUCCGUCUCUCAGCUACCCCUGGCACUCAGGAGUGGGUACAGACAGGCCACACCCAAAUUACAUACCACCCUGGGCCACAGCUGUCGGCCUAGCCCAGCGAAGCUAAGUCCACUUUCCAUAAGACCAGGCCUCAUCCCCAGGUGGGUUCACAACCCCUUAUCUGGAAAAAAAGCGAUUUGCUGGUAUUGUCAAGUUCAAAGUCGACCUCCACUGCCACCUAGUCCCUGCCCUCCCUGUCUGUCUUCUUUCAUUUUCAGUGCCUCGAGGGCCCAAGAGUCUACUGCUGCUCUGCCACUCACGCUAGGACAUUGGCCCCAUGUAGGCCUGUGAAACUUGUACCCUCCUGGACGGUACAAGUGCCCCCAUGCCAGCAGACGGCAGGGAUAGCCUGGUCUUGAAGGCUGCUGGCCCUGUGUUGUUUGACAAGGGCGGUUUGAAAGCUGCCUUCCACAUACCCACUGUCCCGAAAUCUAGUCUUCUUUAUAGUUAGCCCCGCUUCUCCUCCUGCCCCCAUCCUAGUAGCUGCCCCUAACUCGGCUAACUCUCUCAUCUGAGCCCUGAACUGGCCACUGCCUCCCCUCCAACUAGACCCAAGCCCCGGCCCUCCUUGUCACUAACUCCUGCAGGUGGAGGCCCCAACUUUGGUUUUAUAGUCUUGUGUCGCGUCACCCGAACAUUGCUAAACGGAACGAUUCCUCCACGGACACUUAAAAAAAAAAGUUCCUCCCCGACCUAGCCAAAGGAGCCCACGAGGGGCGGGUCAUGGCCUCCAUCAACGGCCACUCCCUCAGAUUGCUCAACGAUCCUUUUCUCCUUGGCGGUGUGUCAUGGGAUGAAAAACACAACUGAAAAUGACACUUGGGAGGUCACCACGCCCCGAUGAGGCUCGAAAGUAGGGCCGGCAGAGCGCCUGGAAAAUUCCACCGAGUGGCGGAGGGAUCUCUGCGGUGAUGACCUCCACCCUGCUGAAGGACAAGGGCAGAGCAACUUCCCCAAUGGAGCUGUUUCCUGGAGAUGGCUGUAAACAAGGCUGUGGGUGGGGCUGAAGGUGACUCCAUCUGAGCUUGCCCUGUGUCUGUGGCAAGUCCCUUCCCAGCCAGCUAUGGGAUUCUGGGAUGGAGGGGAAAGAGCAAAAUGGGGUCUCUUUGUAAUAUCCCAUGGUCCUUGGUGGGGGCCCACUCUCCAAUAUCCUUCUCAAGGACGUGGGCAGCCCCCACUGGCCUUGUCAUCCUCUUUGGAAGUCAGCUCAGUCCUGUUGUUUUCAAACACAGGCAGACUCAGGGUUUCCUACAAAAACUCUUGGAAUAGUGAGAAGGGACGGUGCUCCAGGUGGGUCCAAAAGGCAGGGCCAUGCCAGGAUUGCUACCACUAGAGAAUAUGCCUGAACUCCAGCCCCCCUCCUCCACAGAUCCAGUUCCUAGGCUGUAGCGUAUUUUUUUAGGUUCCUUGUGCUUCUCUUGGUGCGAGAGCCUCCUCAGCCUGGGCUCCUUCAGAGUCCUGAGACAAGUGGGUCAGGAAACUGCACAAUCACUGUGUGCUGGCAGGAAACCUUCCCACCCCCAUUCACUGCCCUGAAGAGCUGGAGCAGAAAAAGAAGCCCUGCUCCCAAACUGCCAGGCUCUUCCGGUGGAAGGGGACACUUCUCCCACCCUUCCCCCACUGCCUCACAAAUUUGGAAGCAUACUGUUUUUAUGAAAAACGAUCUCACCCACUGGCUUCCUGUCUCCCUUUAAUCCUCAGCUCCUGUAGGCCAGGGCUGCAAAGUCACCUCUCAAGUGAGUCCCCUUGGCUCUAGCAAUAAGUCAGUCUGUCCCGUCCAGUCCUCCUCCCUACUUGAUCUGUGGGGGCAGGGUUUCUGUCUAGUGUGCCCUAGAUCUCUACCAAGAGGUAGGCUCCUGUGUGUAUGACUUCACUGUUCAUAUUUUCUAAAGGUCACUCUGAAUCC
Molecule: non-coding RNA, 38225 nt
Organism: Rattus norvegicus (Norway rat)
Lineage: Eukaryota; Metazoa; Chordata; Mammalia; Rodentia; Muridae
Source: RefSeq, a predicted model, not a curated record